This is a long non-coding RNA of Oryctolagus cuniculus (rabbit), 3210 nucleotides long. The record is from Ensembl. NCBI's taxonomy places the organism in Eukaryota, Metazoa, Chordata, Mammalia, Lagomorpha, Leporidae.
GGCCUCCGGAGCUCCCGGCCCCCAGCCAGGGAACACUUUGUGAGAGCAUUUGAACGGCCUCAGCCCAGAGCCCAAAACACGCCAUGGCCUGGGGGGCCUGCACACCGCAGCCAGACGGAACAGCUCCCUCCAGCACCAGGGAUAACACCCUGUCCAGGUUUUGGUGCCACUUGUUCACCGGAUGUUCCAGACACACAGGGAGAAGGGAAGGAUGCCGGGAAGCCCCGGGGAUGCGUCUCCCCUUACGCAGUGAGCAACAGGAACAGGUGGCCAGAACCGAGCGCUGCCACCCCUCCACCUGCCUGACUGGCUCCCCUAUCUGUCAGGGCUGGGACCUGGGACCGGCACCUCCAAGCCAGCAGCUGCUGCAGGCCGGGCAGGCGAGAGAACAUGAAAGGAAGGUUUGGGAGCAACUUGGCUACUGCUACAAAGUGGGGAGGAAAGGAAGCCAAAGAUGAAAGGGGAACAUUGGGAAACCGAAAGAGAUGACCUCAGGCAGAGGGAAAGGCCUGACUGUGGGAGGAGCAGCCCUGCAGAGCCUGGUCCAGCGGCAGGAACCGGACGGCGGCGGCGGGACCGCGUGCGCGCGCGAGGAACACCUGUGUGCUCAGGUGACACGGCUUGUUGCGCAACCCACAAGAACAGACAGCGCGCUCCUGUUCUCCUUCGGAAGAGAGCCAGGGGAUCCACGGCCCUGCCUGCUGUGCCAUCCACAUGAGGUGCGUCUUCAGACCGUACAAGACGGGGAGCAGCUUCCACUGUGGCCAUUACAGAAAGAUCUCCAACAAGCAUGCGACCUUGAAUGGACAAGUGUCCCAGAGCAGUGGCUGGGGCUGGGGCAUGUGUGGAAAGAGGCUUUCUCUACUGUGACUUCCAUGGGAAAAGUCCCAUGUCACAAUCUGGAAUCGGUCACUGCCCCCCCCCCCCCCCCCGCCGUGUCAUUAUCAAAAGCUACAGGUGGGCUGACAAGGACUGAGCUCUGAGCUUGGUGUUGCUAACACUGUUCUUACAGCUGCAUUUCUGAUCGCUGAGUUUUGCUUCUCUCUGAUCGCGUGAUAAGGAUGGCAUUACCAUGAUUUGGGCUGUUCUGGUCAUUAAAAAAUAACCCAAAACAACAACACAACAGUUGGCUUUUAAAUCCUUCAAUAUCAUUAAGCUACUGCUGGUUACCUGUAGCAACUGUUUAUUAAAAUGGAAAAGCCAGUGGGGGAAAAAAAAAACAAGCAUUCUAUUUGCUCUCAGCAAGCCAGCUGAGGGGACAGCCAGUCACCCUGCUCUGCCUUUGGCUGGGUGCUCUCAAAGGUGGCAAGGCCAGGGAGAACUCAGUCUGAGGGCAGCUGGCAAGGCCUCUGUCCUCUGAUUCGCUCACCCCAGUGGCUGGCUGUCCCUCCAGCUUGGGGAUGGGUCCUUUGCUAAAGACUUCCUGGGGAAGCAGAGCAGUGUGUGUGUGUGUGCACACGUGUGUGUGCACGUGGACUUCUCCAAAGUAUCAGACCCACCAGCUAUUGGCUUAGCCACACCCCGCCUCUCUUUGUGCUUGGGUGUUCUUUGAUGGCAAAGGAUUUCCUUUGAAAGUGCAAAUUCCCCAGUGUUAGGCUAUUAGCUAAUCCUGAGCACCCAUUUCCACAUUUGCUGGGUUGAGUUGAAAGCAGAGAGAGAGAGAGAGAGUUCAAGGAUGAGGAUGCUGGCGAUUUCCUGGAGGGAAAGCAGACAGCAUCAGGACAAAGGAAUGUAGGCCUAUGGGGUGGGAGAGACGUGUACAGCUACGCGACUUUGUAGCUGCAGUUUUGCCCUGGCCAUGGGACUGCUAUGUUUCUGUGCGAAGAGAGCCCAAAUCAUCCUCUAGAAUCGGUGCUGAGCCUACCACCUGGUGUGGACAGCACGGAGGUGCAGGCGGGACCCUACACCCUCCCGGUCCCGGCCUCAGCUUUCAGUCAUUCUGCAAACCACCUGGCUUUAUGAGUGGGGGCUCGCACAAGACUUAAGAGAACAUGCAGGACCCAACGUCUCUGACUGGUUGUGCACUCAGAGGUAGUGGUUUCAGGAUGACUGCCCAAGACGUCUUUUGCAGUGCUUCUCAUGUGCAUGGUCUUUGAGUCUCCUUCAUUUCCUGGACUCGUAAGCACCUCAAAGUCUGCCAGGGUAUCUUAAGGACAGACCCAGGAAGCAUCACCAUGGUCAACUCCAUAUCACUUGCCUGAGUGAUGGGGCAUGGGAUUCGUGGGGACUAACUUUAGACCCCCUUGCUUUAACAAAACCCAAAAAGUUAUAAAAUUAUUCUACACUUGUGCUCAUCCUGUUUCUCACUUCCUGUUCCUUUUCUAAAUCCCACCCUGUCUUCAAGGCCUGGCCCAGAAGCUGCUGUGUGCAGCAUGAAGCCUUCCCUGGCCUCUUGUCCCAGAAGCACCUCCUACACUUGCUUUGCCUGGGUUGUUUCGUGCCUGCAACUUCCUCCUCUAGCUAAACUGUAAAUGGCUCCCGGGGGUGGGGGGGGCAAUGCCCCAUUUGUCUUUCCCCUCACUCGGUGUGUUGGAUGUAAUGAGGACGCGGCAGGGUGCGAAAUCCCCCUGAAGAAGGAUUUGAUGAGCACAGUUCCCAGGGAGUCCUUGAACUUGAGUUGAGAAGGAUCUCCCAAGGAGAAGCCAAGGACCAAGUCAGCCAAGGGAACACAUGACAGAUGCGGUUGCAUGUGCCCAGCCCUGUUCUAGGCACUGUGGGGAAACAGAAGGAAAAUGGUGUACAACUUUCGUUUCAAAGAGACAGAGGCUCCUGAAAGAAGCAAGAACAAGGAUGGAACAGUACAUUUCCGGAAAUAACUGUCGGGUUGCAUGUAGGAAUGUAACGAAAAGUCUUCCCCUGUCCCUUUCUGUCUCUGGGUAUCUCAUCCAUAAAGCAGAUCUAAGGGUUCCCGUUCCUCUUCCUUGUUGCCGUGAGCUGGCUCUCACCCCUCUCUCACUUCUGCAUUACUAUCAUGGCCUCCAGGCCUGCCUCCACCUCUGUCCACCUCUCUACCUGCCAGGCACACGCGUGUGGGGCCUUCCCUUACCGUGGGUCCAUUGUCAACACCUCCCUUCUCUAUACAACAGAUCAUUCUCAUAAACAAUCAUGGAUAACCAGUAAUGAUGUUUAUUUUCUUGGUAUGUUCGUUCAAUUCAAAACGAACAGUGUUUUUUAAAAAAAUGAAUAAAUUUAGGCCGGCGCCAUGGCUCA